AACAGGAUUAGAUACCCUGGUAGUCCAUGCCGUAAACGAUGAGUGCUAGGUGUUGGAGGGUUUCCGCCCUUCAGUGCCGGAGCUAACGCAUUAAGCACUCCGCCUGGGGAGUACGACCGCAAGGUUGAAACUCAAAGGAAUUGACGGGGGCCCGCACAAGCGGUGGAGCAUGUGGUUUAAUUCGAAGCUACGCGAAGAACCUUACCAGGUCUUGACAUCUUGCGCCAACCCUAGAGAUAGGGCGUUUCCUUCGGGAACGCAAUGACAGGUGGUGCAUGGUCGUCGUCAGCUCGUGUCGUGAGAUGUUGGGUUAAGUCCCGCAACGAGCACAACCCUUGUUACUAGUUGCCAGCAUUAAGUUGGGCACUCUAGUGAGACUGCCGGUGACAAACCGGAGGAAGGUGGGGACGACGUCAGAUCAUCAUGCCCCUUAUGACCUGGGCUACACACGUGCUACAAUGGACGGUGCAACGAGUCGCGAACUCGCGAGGGCAAGCAAAUCUCUUAAAACCGUUCUCAGUUCGGACUGCAGGCUGCAACUCGCCUGCACGAAGUCGGAAUCGCUAGUAAUCGCUAGUAAUCGCGGAUCAGCAUGCCGCGGUGAAUACGUUCCCGGGCCUUGUACACACCGCCCGUCACACCAUGAGAGUUUGCAACACCCAAAGUCGGUGGGGUAACCUUUUAGGAGCCAGCCGCCUAAGGUGGGACAGAUGAUUAGGGUGAAGUCGUAACAAGGUAACC
This 741-nucleotide ribosomal RNA is filed under the name uncultured bacterium. Its description in RNAcentral is "bacterial SSU rRNA". It matches the Rfam family "Bacterial small subunit ribosomal RNA", at positions 771 to 1501 of the family's 1533-position model. The record is from RNAcentral.